CCUACGGGAGGCAGCAGUGAGGAAUAUUGGUCAAUGGGCGGAAGCCUGAACCAGCCAAGUAGCGUGCAGGAUGACGGCCCUACGGGUUGUAAACUGCUUUUAUACGGGAAUAACGCGCCUUACGUGUAGGGCUUUGCAUGUACCGUAUGAAUAAGGACCGGCUAAUUCCGUGCCAGCAGCCGCGGUAAUCCGGAAGGUCCGGGCGUUAUCCGGAUUUAUUGGGGUUAAAGGGAGCGUGGGCCGCAUGUGAAGCGGGAUGUGAAAUGUCCGGGCUCAACCCGGGCCUUGCAGCGUGAACUGGCGUGCUGGAGUCCGCGGAAAGUAGGCGGAAUUCGUAGUGUAGCGGUGAAAUGCUUAGAUAUGACGAAGAACCCCGAUUGCGAAGGCAGCUUGCUGCAGCGGAACUGACGCUGAUGCUCGAAAGCGCGGGUAUCGAACAGGAUUAGAUACCCGUGUAGUC
RNAcentral lists this ribosomal RNA (460 nucleotides) under uncultured bacterium. RNAcentral describes it as "partial 16S ribosomal RNA". It matches the Rfam family "Bacterial small subunit ribosomal RNA", at positions 338 to 795 of the family's 1533-position model. The record is from RNAcentral.